RNAcentral lists this transfer RNA (89 nucleotides) under Puccinia triticina. RNAcentral describes it as "tRNA-Val". It matches the Rfam family "tRNA". Rfam says of the family: Transfer RNA (tRNA) molecules are approximately 80 nucleotides in length. Their secondary structure includes four short double-helical elements and three loops (D, anti-codon, and T loops). The record is from RNAcentral. Lineage: Eukaryota; Fungi; Basidiomycota; Pucciniomycetes; Pucciniales; Pucciniaceae. RNAcentral also lists the same sequence under 1 other name.
GGCACUGUAGCUCAGUUGGUAGAGCACAUGCUUAACAUCGGCGCGCCGGUGCUCGCAUGUUGUCGUCGGUUCGAGCCCGGCCAGAGUCA